This 913-nucleotide ribosomal RNA is filed under the name uncultured Bacillota bacterium. RNAcentral describes it as "bacterial SSU rRNA". It matches the Rfam family "Bacterial small subunit ribosomal RNA", at positions 1 to 892 of the family's 1533-position model. The record is from RNAcentral. Lineage: Bacteria; Bacillati; Bacillota.
GGAUCCAGACUUUGAUUAUGGCUCAGGACGAACGCUGGCGGCGUGCUUAACACAUGCAAGUCGAACGGAGAAUUUAUUUCGGUAAAUUCUUAGUGGCGAACGGGUGAGUAACGCGUAGGCAACCUGCCCUCCAGUUGGGGACAACAUUCCGAAAGGAAUGCUAAUACCGAAUGUGAUCCCUUUUCCGCAUGGAGAAGGGAUGAAAGAUGGCCUCUAUUUAUAAGCUAUCGCUGGAAGAUGGGCCUGCGUCUGAUUAGCUAGUUGGUGGGGUAACGGCUCACCAAGGCGAUGAUCAGUAGCCGGUCUGAGAGGAUGAACGGCCACAUUGGGACUGAGACACGGCCCAAACUCCUACGGGAGGCAGCAGUGGGGAAUCUUCCGCAAUGGACGAAAGUCUGACGGAGCAACGCCGCGUGAGUGAUGAAGGUCUUCGGAUUGUAAAACUCUGUUGUCAGGGACGAAUGUGCGAACGUUGAAUAAGCGUUUGUAUUGACGGUACCUGACGAGGAAGCCACGGCUAACUACGUGCCAGCAGCCGCGGUAAUACGUAGGUGGCAAGCGUUGUCCGGAAUUAUUGGGCGUAAAGAGCAUGUAGGCGGGCUUUUAAGUCCGACGUGAAAAUGCGGGGCUUAACCCCGUAUGGCGUUGGAUACUGGAAGUCUUGAGUGCAGGAGAGGAAAGGGGAAUUCCCAGUGUAGCGGUGAAAUGCGUAGAUAUUGGGAGGAACACCAGUGGCGAAGGCGCCUUUCUGGACUGUGUCUGACGCUGAGAUGCGAAAGCCAGGGUAGCAAACGGGAUUAGAUACCCCGGUAGUCCUGGCCGUAAACGAUGGGUACUAGGUGUAGGAGGUAUCGACCCCUUCUGUGCCGGAGUUAACGCAAUAAGUACCCCGCCUGGGGACUACGAUCGCAAG